UACGAAGGGUGCUAGCGUCGUUCGGAAUCACUGGGCGUAAAGCGCGCGUAGGCGGUGACACAAGUCAGGGGUGAAAUCCUGGGGCUCAACCUCAGAAUUGCCUUUGAAACUAGGUCGCUGGAGUGUCGGAGGGGAUAGCGGAAUUCCUAAUGUAGAGGUGAAAUUCGUAGAUAUUAGGAGGAACACCGGUGGCGAAGGCGGCUAUCUGGACGACAACUGACGCUGAGGCGCGAAAGCGUGGGGAUCAAACAGG
This 253-nucleotide ribosomal RNA is filed under the name uncultured bacterium. Its description in RNAcentral is "partial 16S ribosomal RNA". It matches the Rfam family "Bacterial small subunit ribosomal RNA", at positions 524 to 776 of the family's 1533-position model. The record is from RNAcentral.